This is an RNA transcript of Selaginella moellendorffii, 2028 nucleotides long. RefSeq lists it as uncharacterized. The record is from RefSeq and is a predicted model, not a curated record. The transcript has 5 exons. NCBI's taxonomy places the organism in Eukaryota, Viridiplantae, Streptophyta, Lycopodiopsida, Selaginellales, Selaginellaceae.
UUUAUGAGGAGAGGCCUGAGGCGGUGGAGGAAGCAGGUAAUCCGAUUUUAGGGUUGGAAGAGGAAACAGAGCUCUGGGAAAUGGGGCCGAUCGAGCUGGAUCUGGGCCUGCUCGUGCUCUAUCUUCACCAACAGGAGGAGGAAGAGGUGCCCAUGGAGGGAGAGGUGGCCAUGGAGUGGGAGGAGGGCGCGGGUGGCCGGGGUUGGCCGCGGAUCUCUGAAUGGCCCCGGGAGGAUUAGGCCAUGGUUCUGAGGCGGCUCGAGGAGGGGGUGCCCCGGGAGGAGGAGGCCAUGGUUCUACUCUAGGAGGAGGACGCCGCGGUUCUUCUCCGGGAGGAGGAGGCCAUGGAUCAUCGCCAGGAGGAGGCCAAGCCUGGGUGGGAGGAGCCGAAGCCACAGCGGGAGGAGUCCAAGCCGCGCCCGGAGGAGCCCAAGCCACGUCCGGAAGUUCCCCUGGAGCACAGCGUGCCGGGAGCUCCAACUGCUUUGAGAAACAGAGAUGGCGGGUCAUGAAGAAGAGGGAGAUGACAGCGUCCCCGAUCUGGAACAAGAUCCGGAUGCUCACAUGGAGGAGCUGGCUGUCCAGUUUGUGGAUACCUCGGGUUUUGCUGCACCUGCUGCUGCGAAGAGAACCCGGGGAAAGAACUGGAACCAUGCUGAGACCAUGCUCCUGAUUGAUCUCGUUCGGGAAAAACAUCUCGCGAAGAUUGCGGGGGAGGGAGGAGCAGCCAGCAUGUUCUCAUGACGAAGACACAGCGCAUCUUUCACCCUUUUGCUUUAGGGUUUAAAUGCACAUUGCGGAUGACAAGAGCCCCGCUGCCUGAGGAAGAAGACCGUGAACUUGAGGUUCGUCGGGCUGUGAUUGGGAGGAGGUUUUGCAUCGGCCUGUGGUGGGUGAAGCCUCGAAAUGUCACCACCUGGAGUAAGUUUUCUUUGGAGUAUUACGAUGUGGGGAGGUGGAAGAGGAAACUUCAGAUGGUGAAGAGGACGUUCUUCACCAUUUGUGGCAUGCUGGAGAGCGAGAUCCGGAAGCACGAUACCGGUUGGAGGAGUGUGGUGCUGGUGGACAAGCUUUUCAAGAACACAGAUUACUUGGAUCUGGCAGACAAGUUCGGCAUCGGGGAGUCCACAGCUCAUGAGAUUUUCAUGGACACUACUGUGGCGAUUGUCAAGUGUCUCAGGUACAAGAUUCAUUUUCCUUCAACCGCCAAGGAGGUUCGAGCUGUUGCUGCUGGCUUUCGACAAGUGACAGGAACCCGACUGCCUAAUGUUGCUGGAGCGAUCGACUGUACUCCGAGAUCAUCCGACCUACUAGACUGGACGGCAAGAGCUACUACGAUCGGAAGCAGCGUUACUCGGUCAUCUUGCAAGGGGUUUGUGAUGCCCAGAAGAGGUUCCUCAGUGUCUACGCUGGGUGGCCAGGACGCGUCCACGACAUGAGGGUUUUUCGUAAUUCAACCCUCAGGAACAAGAUUGUAGCAAGGGAGCUGCUGACAUCGCCCGUGGUGUUAGCAUAUGACGAUAGGAUCAAGCCAUACCUAGUGGGGGACAAAGGGUACCAACUCCAGAUUCCACACACAACUCUGAACCCGACACCAUCCAAGGCAGCUUUCAACCUUCAUCACCACCUUGCUCGGAUUGUUAUUGAGCAAGCAUUUGGACUUCUUAAAAUGAAGUUCAGAUGCUUGGAUCAAAAACAAAGGAUCCAGCCAAAGUACCUUCCCAACAUCAUCAAGAGUUGUUCUUGAUUGAUGUUGGGGAGACUGAUCUUUGGGCGGACAUCCAAGCUUGGAGGAAAGAGGUGAAAAGGCUCAAGGACCAGGACCUCUUUGUUGAUUACAGUGAUCCUGAGCAAGCGGAAGGGGAGCCUCGUGAGGAGUUGCACAGUCCAGAGGAUGUGAAAGAGGUUAGAGAGAACCUCACGUUUUCCCUGUGUCUUUGCCAGUGGCGUUCGUGUUUGCUUUGAAAUUUGCCGGGAUAUAAUUCUAAGCAUUUGAAUUUGAAUUUGAAAUUUCAAAAUUUGAAUUAA